Long non-coding RNA from Olea europaea var. sylvestris, 241 nucleotides. RefSeq lists it as uncharacterized. NCBI's taxonomy places the organism in Eukaryota, Viridiplantae, Streptophyta, Magnoliopsida, Lamiales, Oleaceae. The transcript is spliced from 2 exons. The record is from RefSeq and is a predicted model, not a curated record.
UAAAUAUGCUAAUAAAUACCUCUGAAAAUUCGUCUUUAAUUUACCCCUCCCUGAAAACAUUUUCCGACACCUCAAACCCUUCUCUCUAGUUUUUGUUUAGCUCUCAGACCUUCAGGCUACAGGAAAAUUUGGUAUUUCCAUGGCGACCAGGACUGUUGUGAGACACGUAUCUCGUAGGUUCUCAAGCAGUGGCAAAGUGCUCAGUGAGGAGGAAAAAGCUGCAGAAAAUGUCUAUAUCAAG